RNAcentral lists this unclassified non-coding RNA (144 nucleotides) under uncultured fungus. RNAcentral's name for it is "sequence contains ITS1". The record is from RNAcentral. Lineage: Eukaryota; Fungi.
GUCAAUUUUGUAUGAAUAUUACUUUGUCAAACACAACAAGCGCAAAUGUUGUCGUGCGGGCAGAGUGGAGUGGUUUCCCACACCCGCUCCAACCCACACGGCGACUGAUUUGUAAUGAUCCUUCCGCAGGUUCACCUACGGAAA